CCUACGGGAGGCAGCAGUCGAGAAUCAUUCACAAUGGGGGAAACCCUGAUGGUGCGACGCCGCGUGGGGGAAUGAAGGUCUUCGGAUUGUAAACCCCUGUCAUGUGGGAGCAAAUUAAAAAGAUAGUACCACAAGAGGAAGAGACGGCUAACUCUGUGCCAGCAGCCGCGGUAAUACAGAGGUCUCAAGCGUUGUUCGGAAUCACUGGGCGUAAAGCGUGCGUAGGCUGUUUCGUAAGUCGUGUGUGAAAGGCCCGGGCUCAACCCGCGGACGGCACAUGAUACUGCGAGACUAGAGUAAUGGAGGGGGAACCGGAAUUCUCGGUGUAGCAGUGAAAUGCGUAGAUAUCGAGAGGAACACUCGUGGCGAAGGCGGGUUCCUGGACAUUAACUGACGCUGAGGCACGAAGGCCAGGGGAGCGAAAGGGAUUAGAUACCCCUGUAGUC
Molecule: ribosomal RNA, 446 nt
Filed under: uncultured bacterium
Lineage: Bacteria
Description: partial 16S ribosomal RNA
Rfam family: Bacterial small subunit ribosomal RNA
Source: RNAcentral